This is an RNA transcript of Sardina pilchardus (European sardine), 908 nucleotides long. It is a transcript of the gene named testis expressed 55, with no coding region annotated. The transcript has 6 exons. The record is from RefSeq and is a predicted model, not a curated record. NCBI's taxonomy places the organism in Eukaryota, Metazoa, Chordata, Actinopteri, Clupeiformes, Clupeidae.
CUCAUACGUCCUGAGUUGACCUCGGAAUUGAAAGGAGAUGCGAGGGGGGGACGAGAGAUACCCAAUCAGAGAAGGAAAAACGGACACCGCGUGCUUGCCAAUUGGCGCUCGGCUUGCACGUUCGGACUGUGCAGCCUUGUAGUCGCGAGAGAGAGACCCUAGCUACCCCCUGCCCGUUUGCGCCGACGCCCCCCACCCCCGCCCUCUUGUGUCUAGACACUGACAGGUGUGUGUGUGUGCGUGUGUGUUCGUCUAGACGGUGGAACUGGGAAGAAUAAUCAGACAUCCUCCUUAAUACAUGCAUCCAUCUUUAAUCUCCAUUAUUUGGCGAAUGACCGUCGUGGAUAUUUAAGACAGAACCUCUCUAUCGCACGGUAACGGUAGACCACAAACAUCGCUCCGAAAAUCAAACCCGUUGUUAUCCAGACAACAUAAAUGGACAGUGCACAUUCAUGAACGUCAACAUAAAUAUGGAUGGUAAACAUGCUGGAGCUCAUUUUCAUCUGUAGACCCUAGCUGAUCUAAACAAAACUCGGAUUGGUGAGGAAACUCAGAGGGACGGAUUCCUUGCUGGAGAUUUGGAAAAUACUAUUUAAUACCCUUAGCCAUGUCUAACGCUGAGAAGGUUCUCAUCACCGAGCCGGAUGCUGUCAGCAAAGGUGAUGAUGCACCAACAGUCCUAAUGAACGUCACAUAUACAGACCCCUAUGAGAAGGCUGUCAGAUACAUGGAGAAACACAGCAUAUUACAGCUAUUUCAGGAGAUAGCUGAGAACCUGGUGUUUGACCGACCUUCAGAUCCGCUGCAGUCAAUGCUAGAACAGGUGCAAAGGAAGAUCAAGGAUCGUGAGGAGGCGAAAUCUGAAUGAAAAGGUGGUUUUGAAAAAUUAAAAUAAAUGAAAACAUUAA